Alosa sapidissima (American shad) is the source of this 1880-nucleotide long non-coding RNA. RefSeq lists it as uncharacterized. The record is from RefSeq and is a predicted model, not a curated record. Lineage: Eukaryota; Metazoa; Chordata; Actinopteri; Clupeiformes; Clupeidae. The transcript is spliced from 2 exons.
CAGACAGACUACUGUAUGUAACUGGGCACAGAGGCCAAAAAGAUUGAGAAUUCUACCUUGAGUCUUAAUGAAGACAAAGGAGUGAAUGGCGGCAAGCUGAGGCGAACUGGGAGAUAAGGAAGGCGCGAUGGUAAUUGUAAAGCAUUUUACAAAAGGUUCACUGAACAAAAAUGCUUAUUGCGUAGGCCUUUUGUAAUUUUGCAUGAAUUACUUUUUUAUUAAAUUUGUAGGCUGGAAUGCCUCAAGGGAACAAUUGUGUAAUAUAGGCUAGCACCCACUGCUUCAGCCUCUGGUAAGCUCAGAAGUGGGUAGCAAGUGACUUGUAGCUUGAGAGCGAUGCCAGUGUAGGCCGACGUUUCCUUGGCAACAGUAUUACUGUAAAGCAUUAGCAUUGGCAACUUACCUGUUGCAAGUUUACCAAGCUCUCGAUCUCAUUCCACAAGCCUAGAGUGCCCUCUCGCGGCUGUAGACGGUAAUGUUUCAUGUAGCGUUCAUGUCAAUUCAUACUGACUAACAUGUCUUAAAAACAUGUUAAAUUAUAUAUAUUUUGAUAUAUAAGUUGCACCUGACUAAGUCCCAGCCAAACGAUGAAAAAAAGUGUGACUUAUAGUCCGGAAAAAUCGGUAUUAAAGCUGGUGUUUGUUGUGCCUCUUUCAGAUGAAUGUUUAUGUACAUUUAUAUCUCUGUACACAUGUAGUGGUGUUUAUUCACAUCUCUGUACACAUGUAGUGGUUUUAUAUCACAUCUCUGUACACAUGUAGUGGUGUUUAUAUUCACAUCUCUGUACUCAUGUAGUGGUGUUUAUAUUUACAUCUCUGUACACAUGUAGUGGUGUUUAUACAUUCACAUCUCUGUACACAUGUAGUGGUGUUUAUACAGUCACAUCUCUGUACACAUGUACAGUAGUGGUCUUUCUUCUGCCUGUGCUUUUAUGUGACACACUGUUACAGAUGCAAAGAGUCAGCUGAGAUUUAUUAAGGACUUUUCUUGGCUGAAUUUGAAGAUAUUAGUUUUUAAAUAAUCCUGUCAUCUGUCUCUGAUGACACAGUGGAAGGCGUCUGUGGCCAACCAGAGCAUGGAAUUAGACAAAUGCAGAAGGAGUAGACCAGCCAAAAGCAGAUUCAAGCUGCACUUCAUUUUAAACAUGGAGGAGGAAGUCAACCGACUUUUUUUUUUUCAAAACUGAUGAAUUACAUGAACUACAUCGUGGGUAUAAAAUGGAUUUGUAUCAUACCAUAUCCAUUACAUAAAUUACAUUGAGUAUGACAUUUAUUUGUGUGACACAAUAACCAUUAUAUAUAUUACAUCAAGAGUAAGGAAUGGAUAUGUGUCCUACCAAAACUGUUACAUAAAUUAUGUCCCUGGUUUGGAACGAAUUUUCAUGCUCAUAUUACAGGUAAGCACAGGAUUUCUAUGCCGACUCUAUCACAAGUAAGAGUAGGGUUUCUAUGCCAACAUACAAGUGACGAGUGGAAGUUUUGUAAAUAGAAGAACAGCAUGUGUCUAUUCUUCGGUCACACGCACGCACGCACGCAGCAGCCACUGACCUGCCUGAUAUCUUUACCACAGGCCCCCACAGCAGGACGAGAAACCGGCCGCUGCUUCCCCCAGUCAAACACAGUCUGACCACAGCACCAGGGCUGAGGGGGGAGUAGGCCACUAAGCAAAGCAGCCAAACCAGCACUGAAACCCCAACACAUCAUUACACUAUCACCUGGGAACACACACACACACACACACAGAAGCCCUGUGCCGCUUUGACACUUGCUGGUCUUGCAUUAUGUCAUCACACAUACAGACACACACACACACAUGGCUGACUGUGUGUCUGUCUGUGUGUGUGACAACACGCUGUUGUCAUAAACAAUAUUUUAAUGUCU